Molecule: long non-coding RNA, 2323 nt
Filed under: Salmo trutta (river trout)
Lineage: Eukaryota; Metazoa; Chordata; Actinopteri; Salmoniformes; Salmonidae
Description: lncRNA (ENSSTUG00000034514.1)
Source: RNAcentral
AUGUUUUACGGGUGGCAUGGGCCACACGCCCCUCUGUGCCUUCCCUCCACCUCCCUUCUCUCUCCAGAUAACCAGCUGCUUCUCCAUCUGAGUCAGAGCAGUGCCCCAAGAGAGAUGGAGAGAGCGGAUUGGUGCGACUGGACGUCUCAGGAGAGAUGGAGAGAGCGGAUUGGUGAGACUGGACGUCUCAGGAGAGAUGGAGAGAGAGGAUUGGUGCGACUGGACGCCUCAGGAGAGAUGGAGAGAGAGGAUUGGUGCGACUGGACGCCUCAGGAGAGAUGGAGAGCGGAUUGGUGCAACUGGACACCUCAGGAGAGAUGGAGAGAGCGGAUUGGUGCGACUGGACGCCUCAGGAGAGAUGGAGAGAGCGGAUUGGUGCGACUGGACGCCUCAGGAGAGAUGGAGAGAGCGGAUUGGUGCGACUGGACGCCUCAGGAGAGAUGGAGAGAGCGGAUUGGUGCGACCGGACGCCGCAGGUCGGAGGUCAGAUCUGCAUGCGCCGGGGAUCUUUGUGUUCAAUCUCUGUGAGGUCACCUAACCCCCAAGCACGCUAACACACGCCCCCUCAAACUGUUGAUCUGCCCUGACACACACACACACACACACACACACACACACACACACACACACACACACUACUGAGUCGUUCAGCAGAGACAGGGUUCAGAACCCAAGGGACUGGGCCAUAGUCACAAAAGGGGCCCUGAAAUGUUUUUAUAAUGAUCACCCCCCUCCGUUAUCGUUAACCCCUACCUCCCUCCCUCCCUCCCUCCCUCCCUCACCAGAACACACGAUCCCCCACUCCUCUCUUUCACUCUCUCCAUCCUUCUUUAAUCUGGGACAGAUGAUUCCCUGUGUGUGUGGCAGGAGUCAAUGUGCUGUCGUAAGGAACACAGUCGUGACCCCAUGCAUAAGAGCACUUAACCAAAUCAUGAAUUAUGAACCAUAAAGAAAUGAAUAAUAGAUCAGAGAUAAUGUCUUUCUCCUGAAGCUGCAGAGAUAGGACUGCAGAGAUAGGACUGCAGAGAUAGGACUGCAGAGAUAGGACUGCAGAGAUUGGUCACAGAGACAGCACACUUGUUUAACAUCCCAAAGACAGCACCCUAUGCAGGGCAAUGUCCCCUUUACUACCCUGGGGCAUUUAGAUCUCCUUAGACCAGAGGGAAGACUGCCCCUACUGGCCCUCUAACACCACCUCCAGUAGCAUCUGGUCUCCCAUUCACUUGAAGCUGAUUUCCUGGUGUUUUUACAGUCUUUAAAGUCCAACAAUACAAAUAAAUAAAUAUACAUCUUUUUGGUUUGCUCAAACCACACGGGGGACAAAUAAAACCAAUAAAACCAGUUGGCUGUCAGUUGGGGAACCCUGCCAUUGACCAAGAAGGCUGUUUCACUCAUGUAUUCCUUGGGGAAUUCACUAUGCCAGUAACCAGUCCAACAUGUGAACAAUUUCAUCAUUGAGAUACAAAAUGAAGCAAUAUCAUGCAACACAUACAGUUGAAUUGUCUUUCCAUUCUAGCCUCCAUAGCACUAACCACCCUGGGCACUUUUCUGCCUUUCCCAACCUCCUGAUCUCUCUCCAGGUCACCUGUCUCAAACCGUGAUCUAACAACAUUCCACAGAGAAUUCUUGGUUAUUUUCCAGCCUCUCAUUUUCUCCUUUAUGUGUGGUGUGUAGGAGGUGCCAACAUGUGGCUAGCAGUAGAUUGAUUUGUAACUAUUUGUUUGAGUGUAUUCAGGUCAAUGUGAGGGUACAUAGGUAGAGUGGCUGACCUUGUGUGAACAUUGAAUGCGAUGAGUGAGUGUCUGUGUGAGUCUAUGAGUGUAUAUGUUCUGCGUAUUAAUCGCUACAUUUGUACUUUGACACUCAGGACCAGUUCAGGACCAGAUUAGGACCAGUUCUGGACCAGAUUAGGACCAGUUCAGAACCAGAUUAGGACCAGAUUAGGACCAGUUCAGGACCCGUUCAGGACCAGAUUAGAACCAGAUUAGGACCAUAUUAGGACCAGAUUAGGACCAAUUCAGGACCAGAUUAGGACCAGUUCAGUAGGUUUUAAAUCGAGCCCCUCUGACACAGAAACGUAAAUCCAUACACACACACACACACACACACACACACACACAUGCCAUGGAGCAGUGGCCUACUUGGUUCCCAACAGAUAAAGUUGAAAGUUGAAUGAAGAUGUUCACUAACACAACAGAAGAGGAAGCAGAGUGGAUAUUGAGUCUCUAUUUUUAGAGAAGAUAUUGAGUCUAUUUUUAGAGUGGAUAUUGAGUCUCUAUUUUUAGAGGAGUAGAUAUUGAGUCUAUUUUUAGAGUGGAUAUUG